UGCCAGACUCCUACGGGAGGCAGCAGUGGGGGAUAUUGCACAAUGGGGGGAACCCUGAUGCAGCGACGCCGCGUGAGUGAAGAAGGUUUUCGGAUCGUAAAACUCUGUUGGUAGAGAAGAACGUUGGUGAGAGUGGAAAGCUCAUCAAGUGACGGUAACUACCCAGAAAGGGACGGCUAACUACGUGCCAGCAGCCGCGGUAAUACGUAGGUCCCGAGCGUUGUCCGGAUUUAUUGGGCGUAAAGCGAGCGCAGGUGGUUUAUUAAGUCUGGUGUAAAAGGCAGUGGCUCAACCAUUGUAUGCAUUGGAAACUGGUAGACUUGAGUGCAGGAGAGGAGAGUGGAAUUCCAUGUGUAGCGGUGAAAUGCGUAGAUAUAUGGAGGAACACCGGUGGCGAAAGCGGCUCUCUGGCCUGUAACUGACACUGAGGCUCGAAAGCGUGGGGAGCAAACAGGAUUAGAUACCCGGGUAC
Molecule: ribosomal RNA, 472 nt
Filed under: uncultured bacterium
Lineage: Bacteria
Description: bacterial SSU rRNA
Rfam family: Bacterial small subunit ribosomal RNA
Source: RNAcentral